UUUUUUUUUUUUUUUUUUUUUUUUGUCUUUUGUCUUUUUAGGGCCGCACCUGCAGCAACAUGGAGGUUCCCAGGUAGGGGUCUAAUCAGAGCUGUAGCCACUGGCCUACGCCACAGCCAGAGCACCACAGGAUCCAAGCUGCGUCUGCAACCUACACCACAGCUCACGGCAACGCGAGAUCCUUAACUCACUGAGCAGGGCCAGGGAUGGAACCCGCAACCUCAUGGUUCCUAGCCAGAUUUGUUUCUGCUGCACCACAACAGGAACUCUUUUCCCUUAAAUUAAUUAUCAAGCAAACUACUGCUGACCCUGUGUCAAGGGAGAGAGAGGGUAACAGGGAAAUGGAUGGGAGGGAGAGACAGACAGAAUAACAGAAGAAGAAAGAGGUCCUACAUCCACUUUUGCUGAGAUUUGAGUUAGCAGGAAAUUCCAGAUCAUGCUACUGCUUAGAACCCAAAUAUGUUAACAAGAAAUGCCAUAUUACUUGAGAAAUUUUUCUUUCUGCUGUGUUACUCUUACAACCUCACAUGUCUGUUGCAGGCUGCAGCUUUCCUGUAAGGGCCAUCCAAAAGGCUGUGUCCUCUUAUCUCGGUUCCCUAAAGGGAAAGGAAGUCCCCUGUCCACCAUCUGGGUAUGGGGAAGACAAAUCCUACAAUGGGAAGAGAGCUAAUGGAGUGCCUAGCACAUGAAGGAAUUAGUCUCCAAUUUCAACUCACAGUUGUAGCUCCAUUAAGAAAAACUGAGGAGUUCCCACUGCAGCUCAGCAGGUUAUGAACCCAACUAGUAUGAUCCGUGAGGGUGCAGGUUCAAGCCCUGGCCUGGCUCAGUGGGUUAAGGAUCCAGCGUUGCCAUGAGCUGUGGUGUAGGUCACAGACAUGGCUUGGAUCUGGCGUUGCUGUGGCUGUGGCAUAUGCUGGCAGCUACAGCUCUGAUUCAAUGCCUAGCCUUGGAACUUCCAUAUGCCGCAGUGCAGCCCUAAAAAAAUAAUAAUAAUAACAAAAGAAAGAAAAGAAAAAGACUGAGGUUGGAGCUCUCUCGUGGAUCAGCAGGUUAAGGACCUGGUGUUGUCACUGCCGCAGCUUGGAUCACUAUGGCACAGUUCAAUCCCUAGCCCUGGAACUUCCAUGUACCAGUGGGUGUGGCCACAAAAAAGAAAAGACUGAGACAAAGAUGCCUGUAGGAUAGUGGGGCAGUCCAGACUACUCAGUUUGGAGGCUGGACUUGCACAACUGACACUUCACACCGGAUGAUCGAUCACCAACACCAAUCACACAAUGGUGACCAUGACAGGGAGGCCAGCACUAUCAGCACCAGCCAGGGCACAGCCACCAGACCUGCACCAAGUAGAGGGAGACUGCACCACGCUGGCCGGGCCUGUGCAGUGGACUGCUCAUUAGGGGAACAUUCACCUGAAACUUACAACUAACUUCCCAGUUCUGAGAUACCCAUUUUGACGUGUGAAGCACACCCUGGCCAGGAGGCUGUCUUUACUCAGCUCCCUGGAAGGAAGAGCACUCCCCAGAGAAGAGAUGGAGGCAGAGGGGCAGCAGCCAUGGAAUCAUCUGCUGAAAGCAGAAAGAAAGCAAGCUGAGCUCUCUCCACUGCCCUCGGCUUCCCACCUCGGUUCAGCCUCCAAGUCAAAGCCAACACUCUUCACCUCCAGCCCCACUGGAAGAGGCAGGAUGCAUGCCAUAUGGUGCAGGGAGCAGGGGCUGUGGAGACAGAGCGCCUCCAUGCUCAGCCCUCCCGUCUCCACGGAAUCUCAUGUGAAAGAGCAAGUAUCCAGUCCUCAGAGCUUCUGGUCUACCCAAGAUUCCUGACACUCUCGCUAACCAGGCUUUAUGCCGUAUGACUAACUCUAAACUCUAACAGGACUGAAUUUCAGGCUACUUCCAGUAAGGUUGAGCUCUGAGUUUUAAAUCUUAUGGUUCGUUUACAUCGGACAUAAUAAAUUCUGGUACAACUAAAAUAGAGAACAUCCUGACCUUCACUCAACAUCUGAAGCCAUCAUUGAACUCUUUCCUAAUUUUAAAUUAAAUUGAAAAUAUCUUCAUUUUUCAUUCAAACCCAAUUUUCAAACACAGUGUAAAAACAGUGCCUAAACUUAAGGGACGCUAUCUGAAACAUUUCAAAACACAAACCAAUUACACAAAAUAAAUUUAUGUGUAAAUAUGGAACAUAAUUAAAGUUUACUUAGAAUCACAGUAGUGGGAUCCUUUACUAUAGGAAAUAACGCUUGAGUGGAAACUUAAAUUCCCUCAUCUUACUUUAAAAGAGGAAAGGGAAAAAAAAACCACACCAUUAUCCUAAAUAGCCAUUUUCACAAUUUUAAUUAUAUUAUUGCACUCUUUAUGGCAUGCGAAAUAAGAAGACUAAAGAAUUACUAGGCUGUUAAAUUUGCAUUUACCUAAUCAAAUUGACAUUGUGUUGGACUUUUGAUCCGUUGAUUUUAAGUUUUUAUCUAUUCGAUACACAAUUACCAUUUACUACAGAAGUAUUUUAAUGAAAGUAGCAUCUUAAAGGCUUUUAAACAUAUCAGUAAAACCAAAGAUGUUUGAGGAGCUCAAUAAAACCACAAAUUCUGGUAGUUUUAAUUAGAUCUAUUAAAUUCCCAUCAUAGCUUGGACAUAAGUUCCUAUUUUCCUAUUUAAAGAGAGUACUGCAAACAUAUAAUAAAUAAUGGCAAUUAAGUUUUACAUUUAUUUUUCUAACUUAAAAACCAAUAUAUUUUUAUUGUAGAAAAUUGGGAACAUCGUGAAAAAUGUAAAGAAAAAAAUCCACAGUCCGAUAGCAAGAUAACUGUUAAUAUUUUCAUGCACUUCCUUUCAGCUUUUUUCCAUUUAUUUUUCACAUGGUUGAGGUCAACAUACUUGCCAUUUAAUAUCUUACUUUUACACCUAACAUUUAAAAAGUCAGCGUUUCCCAUGGUAUGGAAAUGCUCUUUUUAAAAAUCAUUUGGAGAAAAGGUCUUGUCCAUGGCUAGUCCUCUGCACUGAAGCAGCGGCUGGAUAUUGGCGGAAUAAAAUAAUCCACGAAUGAUUUAUACUAUCAUUUAUCGCCCCAUGACCUUAGUUCUGCACAUUUAGGUUCUCAAUUUUUCACUAUCAUGGGUAAUACCAUGCAUCUUUGUGCAUAAAGAUUUUUCAGGAUUUAGGAUUAUUUACUUGGGAUCAAAUUCCAGAAGUUGAAUUACUGGGUCAAGGCUUGUACAAACAACUUUAAGACUUCUGAUACCUAUCAUCAAAUUGCUUUCACCAAAGAGGUACCUUUGGAGUAUCUAUUUUCAGCACUCCUUUUGAUCUCAUAAGGCAAAAAUUUAUCUCAUAAAGACUUGUAGAUCUUUCACUACAUAUACUAUUUCUCCAAAUAUGUAUUAGACAUGCAUAUUUCCUGUUUUCUGAGCUGUCUUGCCAUAUCAUUUACCAAUUUACUCAGUCACCCGGUCUGCCCUGCACCAGUAGCCAUGUUCUUCCAUGCCCUGGAUGUUUCCUCUUUCAUCUUCUUUUACAAAAAAAACUUGGUUUUCUGUUAACUCUCUUACAGAAAUUUCAAAACGUUCACACACAGAUAUACACACACAUUUUAGAUAGAAUUUUUAAAAUACUGUUGCUUAUAACACAAUGUAAUACAUUGUAAAAAAAUUAGAAAGUAUAAACAAAAAGAAAAUGAAAGUUACAGAUAAGCACUGUUCCUAUUUUAAUACAUAUCUUUGCAAAUUUUGCUCUAUGCUAUGCUAUUUUACUUAUUUAUUUAUUUAUUUUGUCUUUUUGCCUUUUCUUGGGCCGCUCCCGCGGCAUAUGGAGGUUCUCAGGCUAGGGGUCGAAUCGGAGCUGUAGCCGCCGGCCUACACCAGAGCCACGGCAACGUGGGAUCCGAGCCGCGUCUGCAACCUACACCACAGCUCACGCAACGCGGAUCCUUAACCCACUGAGCAAGGCCAGGGACUGAACCGCAACCUCAUGGUUCCUAGUCGGAUUCAUUAACCACUGCACCAUGACAGGAACUCCUGCUAUGCCAUUUUAAAAAGAAUGUAUGUGGGAUCAUAUUGCACGUUGCCUUGUAGUGUUUUUUUUUUACUUAACUCUAUUUCAUUUAAACAAUUUGCCAUAUGAUCAAACUGCCCUUCAUGAUAUUUUUUUUUUACCUUUUUUUGGUCGCCCUGUGGCUUAUGUGGUUCCCAGGUCAGGAUCAGAUCCAAGCCACAGUUGUGAGCUAUGUGGCAACACGGGAUCCUGUAAACCCAUGGUGCUGGACCGGGAUUGAACCUGAGUCCUGGUGCUGCAGAGACGCCAUGGAUGCCCCUGCACCACAGCAUGAACUCCCCUUCGUGGGAACACUGUGAUAUGAUAGUUAUGAGGAUGGACUUUAGAGGCAUACAGGUAUGAGUUCGAAUCUUGCCUCCAAAAUCUUCAUUACAAGACUUAGCGUCUUUAAGUCCUAUGCUCAUUGGUAAAAUGAAGGUGAUAAUACCCAUUUAUAUAGACUGUUGUUUGAACUGGAUAAUAUAUACUAUACAGGGAUUUAACAGCAUAGUGAUAACAUGCUUCAUAUGCAUUUAUCAAAUCAAUGAAGGAUCAAUUAAAAAGUUGUUUUAAUUUCCAUUUCUUUGCUUUUUUCAUAUAUUUGGAUUUGUGCUUGUGUGUGUGUGAGGGUGUGACGUGUGCGAUGCCAAAUCUUCACAUCUUUUUCAUAUUUCUACUGCAGUGCUUUUCUCCCUUAUUGCUUUGAAUUCAUUUACUCAUUGAUUCACUUAUUCAUCUGACCAUGACUUAUUAAAAGUUACUAUGGGCUUAUUUUAUUAAGGAUAAUAAAUGUUUGUCUUUUAUGUUGCAAAUGUUCUUCCUAGUUUACAACUUGCCUUUUCCUUUUGUUUAUGGUAGUUUUUGAUGUAAAGAAAUAUUAAAUUUUCAUGCACUUAUUCUAUUUCUUAUUUUUUGUAACAUGCUGAGAAAUUCCUUCUCUAAGGGGAUCCAUUAUUAUUUGGAGUGAAAAGCUCUGC
Molecule: long non-coding RNA, 4999 nt
Filed under: Sus scrofa (pig)
Lineage: Eukaryota; Metazoa; Chordata; Mammalia; Artiodactyla; Suidae
Description: lncRNA (ENSSSCG00000055920.1)
Source: RNAcentral